Long non-coding RNA from Lolium rigidum, 895 nucleotides. RefSeq lists it as uncharacterized. The transcript is spliced from 2 exons. NCBI's taxonomy places the organism in Eukaryota, Viridiplantae, Streptophyta, Magnoliopsida, Poales, Poaceae. The record is from RefSeq and is a predicted model, not a curated record.
GGUCCUUCAACCCACGGGCACGCCAAUCGCGCCGUGCCGCAAACUUCCUAGUUGUUUUAAUGUGCUAUAGCUGAUCUUCGCCAUCCGCUUUCCCUGGGUCAGUAGCUACCUGAGGUUGUUGCUGCUAUCUAUGCCUAGUGAUAGUACCCCACGAUUACCAUUUGUUCUUUUUUAUUGUGUGUGAUUUGCAGCACUACAGACAUGCAGGACAUCAGGACUACCGAAUGCUUAGAUCGGCGUCGUUCUCAGGCCCACUGAAGGCUAAUCUGAAGAAGCUUGCUGCUGUUGAACUGUUUGUCAUGCAUGUGUAACUCCAUUUGUGCAUUUGUGCUGCUUUGAAAUGCAACUUGAUCCGUUGUUUUUACUAGAUGUUGUUUACGGUGACUAAAUUAUGUUAAUUGGUGCGUAAUUGUAGGUCCCUGAAUUCAAAGAAUGUGAAAGAGCUUAUUUACAAAGAAGGGUCGUGGGUUGUUCGGCAAGGAACCUUUCCCCCUUUAUUGCUCGAGUUUAUCUUCACUAUGUCUCUUUGAUGCUCUCUUUCAGUGUCAGUCUCAGUUUAGCAGGUGGUUAUGUCAGGGUGGGGCAAGUUGAAAUCCCUGCAGUCAUGCAACCUGUUGGCUGCUGCUGAUCUUCAUCAGCGAUGACCACUUCCUUCCCAAGACCACCAGCUCCCACUCCUCCCCGAGAACAGGACUUGAAGCAACCAGUUACUCUGCUUCCCCUUCGUCACCAAGGAAAUAACAGCAGAAGGCCCAAAAAUACCCAGAUGCAGCAAUAGUGUGUAAAUUAGCCUAUGUUUUGAUUUUUUUCAGGGACGCCUAUAAAGGCUGAGAGCUGGCCCCACGAUAAAACUGGAUAAAAACCAGAUUGAAAUAAUGAACAAUUUUCUUUGUUA